RNAcentral lists this long non-coding RNA (887 nucleotides) under Ananas comosus (pineapple). Its description in RNAcentral is "long non-coding RNA (ACOM_LNC021544)". The record is from RNAcentral. Lineage: Eukaryota; Viridiplantae; Streptophyta; Magnoliopsida; Poales; Bromeliaceae.
CAAAAAGUUAUUAAGAAGGUAAACAAACAUUUUAUUUAAAAUUACUCUCUCCAACUGCUGUAGUUGGAGCUGCAACUAAUUUGGGCGCAGUUUUAGCUACUGCAAUUGAGUCUCCUUGUGCAGUUUCAAUUGCAGCAGUUGAAUCAAAUACAUCGAACUAAACAUGAGAUUUGAAUCUACAUGCAGUUGCAAUUACGCACAACCAAGCAGCCCCUUACUUUCUCUGACAGUUUAAGUUAGUACUAGAGAGAGAGUAGGUCUUGCGUAAUAUUAGGAGCACGGAGAUCUCCGUGCUUCUAAUCAUUUUUUACGAUAAUGGAGUUUUCGAAUCGACGAUCAGUUCCGUUAGACUUGAUCUAGCGUAUUUGAAGUAUAUAGAAAAUAAUUCUUGUAAUUUUUUUAUAUUAUUUACCUAGCAAUAGAAAGGGUUCAAAAUCAAUAAUUUUUAAUGAUUGAUAUGUAUUGUUAAUUUGCAAGUUUAACAGUAUAGAAAUAUUCAAAUCGGAUGAAAUUUCGACAUAAAUUUUUUUAUACAAUCUACUACAAGAUUAUUAUCUGUGAUCGAAAAUUUUAAUGCUAUAUCACCACUUUUUGUGAGAUUUUUAUUUUCAGCUAUUGAUUUUGAACUCUUUCAAUCGCUAGGUAAAUAAUAUCGAAAAAUUACAAAAUUUAUUUUUUAGCUAAUUCUAAUACGUUAAAUCAAGUCUUACGGAGCCGAUCGUCGAUUCGGUCACACAAGACCACUCUUAGAGAUCAAAAUAUCUUACAUUAUUUAACGUAAUACAAAGCUGAGGUUCUUAGUUUGAGUCUCGUCGGACUCCUAGUUUUGGAAAGAAAAACUUCAGUGGGGAGCUCUCCAGCAAAGCCUCGUUGAGGAGCUCUCGAUU